Molecule: long non-coding RNA, 2848 nt
Filed under: Marmota monax (woodchuck)
Lineage: Eukaryota; Metazoa; Chordata; Mammalia; Rodentia; Sciuridae
Source: RNAcentral
AACAAAGUUUAUUAUAGCCUCCUUGUGCACUGGAGAGCACAGGGAGCUGAGUUUUGUGGCCCCAAUGCGAAGCACUUGGUUUUUCAGUUUCCUCUGCCUGGAAUGAUAUCUCCUCCCCUCUCUUCCUGGUUGGUUCCAGCUCAUCUUUCAAUUUGGCCCUGGUAUCCCCUUCAGGCCCUGUCGGUGAGUCCCCUGAGCUUUCCUUUACCACUGUGGCAUCUCUUGUGAUGCCUCCGCAUCAGACUGUGUGUGGAGACCACCUCAUGUCCCUCUAUGUCCCCCCAGUCUCUAGCACAGUACUAGGUACAUGGAGGUGCUGUUAAUGAUUGAACAGGUGACUGUGUAGGUGAAUGAAUGAGGGAGGUGUUUUGAUAGGAUCUUGGGCACACCUUUCCCCUCCCUAGGCCUUUGUUUUUUAUCUUUAAAGAGGCGGAGCUGGGGGAGCUGUCCUUCUCUGGGAACUCCACCCAGCCUGGUCCUUGUCCUACUGAGCCUGGCUGCCGCACUUUCCCCCUGUGGAGAAGCUCCCGACCUGAGAAACCAGUCUGCUGCAGCCUCCCUGCUCUGCGCACUCAGCCUCUGUCAAAUCCUGCUGCUUCCUCUGGUAGACGUGGCUCCUGUCUGGCUUCCUCCCCACACCCUCAUUCUCGAGGGACCCUGACAGCUUCCACAUGGGUGCGGUCACUACUCCUUCCCGAGUCCAGCAGGCAGGCAGCCCAGCGCCAGCAGAGGAGCUGCCCAGGGCCUCUCCCUGCCCCUGGGGGAGAUCCCUUUCCCCCUCUCAGAUCCCCCUGUCGUCCUCCUGCCCUCUACUUUCCUUUCUCUUCUCUCUCGGUCUCUGUGCCUCUGGCUUGGUCCUCUUUUUUCUCUCCCUUCUACUGGCUGUCUGUUUCCUUCUCUGUCCCACUCUCCUCCUCUUUACUUUUCUGUGUCCUUCUCUCCUCUUUCUUCUCUCCAGACUAGUAGUAGCAGCCCCUCCCACUCCACAGGCCUUCCCUCCCCAGCCUGGCUGAGGGCUGCUCUGUUUCUCUGAAGCCCUUUCCUGGCCCUAACUCGAGCCUGAAUCCCCUCUCCUGCCCACCCCACCCCACCCUAUCCCUGUUGGCGGGUGCUCCAGCCUGGUGGGUGUGCUGGGACCGAAACAUCAAGCAUUGCCAUGCUGAGGGGGAGGAAAAAAAUGGCAGUGACCCCUGGUCGAGGCCAUCUGGGCCUUUUCUGGCAUGGAGACGCCCCACCCCCACCCUGCAUGAGUAGCCUGGCCCCUUCCUGUCGCUGAUUGCUACAGUUCCUUGGCCAGGGAGCAGCCCCCAGAACAACGUUGCACUCCUGGCUCUCCAAGGGGCCUAUCUCCCUCAGCUUCCUUCCUCCUGCGUAGCCUGCUGGGGGCUGAGCUACUAGAUCUCCAGGUUGCUCAGCUGGGGAAUGAGACCCCAGAUGGGUGGGGUGUAAAGUCAAGGCAGAGAAAGUGAGAGUGGAAAGUGAUACCCAAGGCAGGAAUCAAACAAGUGAGAUUGAGCCUUAGUGGAUCCUGCUUUGCCUUGGGUGGGGGGGAGGGGAAUGGCCUUAGGCAAACUACUCAAACUACUUCCCUCUCUGAGUCUCAGCUUUCUUUCCUAUAGAUCAGGACCUGGGAUUCCCUUUCAGUGCACAAUUAUGAGAAUUAAAUGUUAAGACAUGGAUACCUCCCCCUCCUCCUCCCCUCUCCCCCCCUGCACUGAAGACUCAGGGUAAGUGUUACUUGAGAUGAAAUUUGAAUGCCUGAUAAGAAAUAAGCCAGGAGCCAGAGACCUGCGUUCAAAUCUCAUCUGUGUCUUCUGUGGAUGGCAGGUGAGGAUGCUCAGAGAUACUGGGCACACAGCAGACUGAGCAAAGGGACCUGGAGAUUACUUUUGCAAUAAUGGACCUUUAUUUUAUUUACAUGUGAUGCUAAGAAUCGAACACAGUGCCUCACACAUGCUAGGCAAUCGCUCUGCCCCUGAGCCACAACCCCAGUGCCGCUUUUGCAGGUUCUUGAGCAAGUGGCCAGGGUGGCUGCUGAGGAGCCAGAGAUUUGAGCUCAGGUGUACAAUGCACCUUAAAGUGGCAUGUCAGACAGACCAGCCCUUCCCUGAUUCUGACUGCCCUGGAACACAUUCCACAUGCUACUGCAUCUGUGCCUGGGCUCCUGCUGUCCUUGGCACAGAUACAGGUGCAGUCACCCUUCUCUGCCUGUUCAUAUCCUGCCUAUGCCCAGCUUGACUGGAAUCCUGAGGUCUUGCUGGGUCAAAGACUUAUUUAUCGACUUGACUUUGGUUAAUGAGCCUCAGUUUACUUGCUUGCAAAUGAUGCUGUUCAUAUCUACCUCUGGGUCUUAAUGAACACUUGGUGGGAAACUCCUAUGAAAGCAUGAUUCUGUACAUAAAUUCUCUCCUUUUCUUGACACCUUUUCUCUCCAAUUUAAAAAAAAAAUGUGUCUUGCUUUCCUCGUUAUGUUAGUUGGCAUUAUUUCCCAUAGAAUGGGCAGUCCUUGAGGACUGGUUAUUUCCAUCGCUGGUAACUAGCACAAGACCUAGCCCAUCACACUCGCAGAGGGAAGUGGGCCUAGCCAUGAGCUUCACAAGAUAAAUAGUCACAUUCUCUGGGCCUCACCAUGUGCCUGGCAGUGUGGGGAGAAUUCUCUGCAUCUGUCAAUCACUCAACAAAUACUUAGUGUGCAUCUCUCAUGUGUCAGGUUCUGCCUACUGUGCUUAGGUGACAUCAGUGAACAAAAGACAUAAAUCCUGUCCUUGUGGAGCAUGACUUCUAAUAGAAUGAGCAGAUGACAAAUAGCAAGCAGCGUGAAUGUUGGAAAGUGACAAGUGCUAUGGAU